CUCGGUACGAUCGCGGUUACUCGAGCAUUUUUACGGCGAGUGCGGCGAGUGCUUUGCGGAUCGAGUUGAUCGAGUGCGUUAAACGUUUCGCGUUCCUUCGUUUGUGACAACAAUCUACGCGUCCUGAUAGCGUGUGUUAUCGAUCGACCGCAUUAGUGGUCGGUACGCAUUUCUUUGGUCUUUGGUUUCUCCCCGCCCCAGCGGGAGGGGGGAGGCUCUAAGUCAAAAAGUCCUUGACACGCAACACACGGCUCCCCACGGCUCCAAAAAUGGUCCGCUCCUGGGCCUACGCUCGCGCGUCUGAAAGGUUUCCGCUGUUUACCGGUUGAAACCGCAAUGCGAAUCGCCGGAGAAAAAAACGAACGAACGAACGAAUCCUCCUUCGAAUGAAAGAUUCCUCUUUUUCACGGCGACCGCUCGCUCCUCCUCCUGUGCUGUGCUGUGCUGUGCAGUGUCUGUAUGAACUUGCCCUGAACUUGAACGCUGCGCGAAACACGUGGAUGAAAGUGAAACUAUGGCAUCGAGUCCAUUUGCGAACCUGCGGCUGCCCACGCUUGCUGCCGCUCCGGUUGCUGGCGUUCAGCCAGAUACGGUUGACCCCGGUACGCCGAAGCAGGAUCCCGGGAUGCUACUGCACGCUCCGAACUCACCGAACUCUUCUGCACGCCGCAACUCGGAGCUACCGGCCGGUGGUGGUAAGCGGCAGGCCGCGACCGCCCUGAAGCUCUCCAUACCAUCGCCAAGGGCCUCGUUCAGUGGACUCACCUCACCGGAACUGGCAACACGCCAGCAGCAACAGGCUGUGACGGCCCCGGUUGGUGGUGGACAACCGCCACUGUUUGGCAGCGGCAACAGUCCACGGUUGAAUGAUUUCCAUCUUCAUCAUCCGCAUCAUCAUCUUGUUCACCACCAUCAUCUGAAUGCUGGGCAUCACCAGGGGCAGUUUCCGGAUUUUGAAACGAUGGAAUCGCCUAUGAUGCAGCUCACCAGUCCAGAUCACUCACCGAUCAUGGCGCAACUGAUGGAAGUUACCAGCCCGGGGACACCGGCCAGUCAGGGUAGCAGCUGUAGCAACGGAAGCAACGCAUCCUCCAUCUCGCGCAUGAUGCGCCUUAGCCCCGCACUCUACCAUCACGCCGGCAGCAUAUCACCCUUCCCUUCCGAGAUGUCCGACAUCGCCGACACUGGUACGCCCACGCCGCCACCGACGAGACACAAUCUGUUCGCCAGCUCCAACUCCAAUGCGCCACUUUCGGGCUCCACAUCCGGAUCAAACUCCAACCUAUCCAACGGCCCGAUGUCUUCAGCAGCACUAGAGGUACUGAACAGAAGCGUCGGCAGCAAAAGCUCAAAGCUGUCGAGCUCGAGCUCCACCAGCAGCUCCAGCACGACGACGAGUCAUGUGGCACAGAGUAGCUCCUCAACGCAGCGAAUGUCGUCACUAAAGUCUUCCACGUCGUCUUCCUCGGCCGCUGCCGUUAAGCAGGGUUUGGGCGAGAUGCAAAGCUCGAUCGCCGAGAUGAAGAACAUGAUGGGCCACAGCAACAGCUCCAGCACUACCACCACCACCUCCAGUUCGUCCUCCACACAGCAGUGCUCCUCCUCCUCCUCAUCGUCCAUCUCAUCGUCCUCCACAAAGUCGGCCGCUGCCGCGACCCUUGCCAGCCUGCAGUCACGUAAACUCUCCGCAAACACCCUGUCCCCGAGUCCAUCGUCGAAGAUCAGCGAUCUACAGAAGCGAUUACGCUCCUCGAUGGAUAGUCUGGAUGAUCCGCAGGGUGCGGCCGAUCCACUCGUCACCUUUCCCGACUCCGAGACGGAUGACGAUCUGUCGAGUAUCGCGUCGAGUCUGAAACCCAUGAACGGGCACAGUUCUCUCGUGAACGGUUCCAGCAGCAGCAGCGGAUCGGUCCUCGGUAAUGCGACAUCCGUCGAUACAGUCAAGUUCGAGCAGAAAAAGAUGACAUCGGAAUCGAAGACGAAACUGGUGAAGGAUGGGUUCAGCAGCGAGCAGGCGACACUGAAUUCGGCCGAAUCGAAGAAACUGCACGCCGGUGACCUACAGUACCAGGAACAGGCCGCCCUGGCCGCCAUGAGCACCCGCAUGGAGGUCGACGGUGUGAAGGCGGAAGAGAAGGGAGCGAUACUGAAGGAGGCACGAUCUGUGAAGAUGGGAGACUUCCAGCAGGCGGAAGCAAACAACAUCGCAGCCCACAGUCGCAAGGUACAGAGUGAUCACUUCAGUGCGGAAAACAAGGCCAUCUCGCAGGCACAACAGAAGCAAACCGUCUCAUCCAGUGGCAUCUUUAACCAGGAGAAACACAUCUCCUCCUCGACCCAGUCCUCGUUCACCUCCUCGAACACGCGCACAAUCAGUUCGUCCUCCCAGAUGAGCACCCUGUCGUCCUGCAUGAUGAACGGCGUGAAGCAUGGCGGCACUGCGGACGACUUCCCGUCCUUCGAGGAUCUCGAACGGUUGGGAAGCUGCCCGGAAGAGAUCGACGGUACGAUCGCCCGCUACUCGAACCAUCUGGCCAAGUACGUGCAGAAUCUGCAGAAACCGGACCUGCAGCAGCUCAAGGACGAAGCACCGACGAUGCUGAACCACAUGAACGAAAUCAUCCGCCGUGCCUGGGCCGUACCGACGCACGGCCAUGAGCUCGGUGCAACGCUUUGCGAUACGCUGCGCAAUACCGGUGGGCUCGAUAUAUUGAUGCGAAACUGCAUGGACAACGAUUCGGAUGUGCAGUUCUCUUCGGCGCGCCUGCUCGAACAGUGUCUUACGACGGAAAACCGUACGCAUGUGGUGAAGAAUGGGCUCGAUAAGGUGGUGAAGGUGGCGUGCGUUUGUACGCGGAACAACGCGACAGAUCACUCGCGAGUCGGCACCGGUAUCCUGGAGCAUCUGUUCAAGCACAGCGAGGAUACGUGCUCGAACGUAAUCGAACUCGGUGGUCUCGAUGCCGUGCUGUUCGAGUGCCGCAAGAACGACGUCGAAACACUACGACACUGUGCCGGUGCCCUGGCAAACCUCUCGCUGUACGGUGGCGCGGAGAAUCAACAGGCCAUGAUAAACCGUAAGGUACCGUCCUGGUUGUUCCCACUGGCGUUCCACAACGACGAAAAUAUCAAGUACUACGCGUGCCUGGCCAUUGUAGUGCUCGUCGCUAACAAGGAGAUCGAAGCGGAAGUUAUUAAAUCCGGUACACUCAAUCUCGUUGAACCGUUCGUUACCUCGCACAAUCCGUCCGACUUUGCCAAGUCCAAUCUGGCGCACGCGCACGGCCAGAGCAAACACUGGCUGCAGCGGCUGGUACCGGUGCUGAGUUCGAAGCGUGAGGAGGCCCGCAAUCUGGCGGCUUUCCACUUCUGCAUGGAGGCGGGUAUCAAGAAGGAGCAGGGAAACACAAACAUUUUCAAAGAUAUCGGUGCGAUCGAACCGUUGAUACGGGUGGCCAGCUCACCGAAUGCGAUCGCUUCGAAGUUUGCGGCCCAAGCGUUGCGUCUGAUCGGCGAGACAGUCCCCCACAAACUGUCCCAGCAAGUUCCGCUCUGGUCGAUCGAGGAUGUCCGGGAGUGGGUGAAGCAGAUCGGGUUCACCGAGUACGAGCAGCACUUUUACGAGUCGAAGGUGGACGGUGAUUUGUUGCUGCAGCUACAGGAAUCGAACCUGCGGGAAGAUAUCGGCAUCAAGAAUGGUAUCCAGCGGAUCCGGUUCGAGCGGGAGCUACAGAACCUGAAGAAGAUGGCCGACUACAGUUCGCGCGAUCCCGAUGGAAUCCAUAGCUUUCUGAACCGCAUCGGACCGGAGUACACGAUCUACACUUACUCGCUGUUGAACGCCGGGGUCGAUCUGGAAUCGUUGCGCGAUCUGGACGAGGAUCAGCUGAUCUCACCGUGCGGCAUUAAGAACUCGAUUCACCGGGCCCGCAUUCUCAAUGUGAUCCGGCUGAGCGAUUCGAUUCCCGCGCUCCGCUCGGAGCAGAGCACGGAGAAGAGUCUCGAUGUGUUCGUCAGCUACCGGAGAAGCAACGGUUCGCAGUUGGCCAGUCUGCUGAAGGUGCAUCUGGAGCUGCGCGGCUUCUCGGUGUUCAUCGACGUCGAGCGGCUGGAGGCCGGCAAGUUCGAUAACAAUCUGCUGCAGAGCAUACGCCACGCGAAACACUUUCUGCUCGUCCUGACGCCCGAAGCGCUCGAUCGGUGCUUGGAUGAUUCCGAUGGGAAGGACUGGGUGCAUAGGGAAAUCGUAGCGGCCCUCAACUCCGAUUGCAACAUUAUUCCCAUCAUCGAUAACUUUGAGUGGCCCGCACCGGAGAGGCUGCCCGAGGAUAUGCGCGGAGUUUGUCACUUUAACGGUGUACGAUGGAUUCACGAUUAUCAGGACGCGUGUGUGGACAAACUGGAAAGGUACAUUCGAAAUACCAUGAACAAUAACAGUCGCGCGAACUCUGCUCAACGAACGCUCUAAGUCUCUGCCCUUCCCCGUGUUUGUGUCCUGUGUGUGUCCGAUUGCGUGGCAAUAUUGUAACUCUCGCUGUACCAGCGGAAUACUGUAUUUGGUUUCUGUGUACUGGGUUCGCGGUCUAUUGGUUGUGCGUGUUCUGUGCCGAUGCUGUGCAAAUGCUAUGCUGCUGCUUGUUAAACAUUUCCAUAAUCUCUCUGAAGCCAGUUCAGGCCAUGCCAGUGCGAUAUCGCUAAGCCAGCCAUGGCAUGGCUCUCUACCACCAAUUAUGCUGUGCAGUGUCGUUCCUAGUUUCGAAUUGCGUGGCGUGUUGAAUCCUUCGAACUCUCGUGUUUCCUUCCUUGCGUGGUGACUGGUUUGGUCGAGCGUUUUUCUGAGUACAUACUGUUUGCAAACACUGUAGCUCCCCUGUAUGGGGCGAAUGGCACAAGGAAAGCUUAGAGAAACUGCAGCCAGCUAGCCUGACAAGCGACCAGCCAGCCGGGUUGAGCCGGCGUGCCUGCUGUGGCUGUGCAUCUCCGUCCCGAGCCAAGGUUCAUGCGAGCAGAGACGAACGGUCGUGGUGGAUUGAUGGAUUACGGGCGCAACAUGACGCUCCGGCAGCCCGGGGACGCGACACCCUCAUCCAUGAUCUACAAUCGUACGCACAGCAACGACUCGUGCAAGAGCAGCGA
This is an RNA transcript of Anopheles aquasalis, 5136 nucleotides long. It is a transcript of the gene named sterile alpha and armadillo motif, with no coding region annotated. The record is from RefSeq and is a predicted model, not a curated record. Lineage: Eukaryota; Metazoa; Arthropoda; Insecta; Diptera; Culicidae.